Molecule: ribosomal RNA, 497 nt
Filed under: uncultured bacterium
Lineage: Bacteria
Description: partial 16S ribosomal RNA
Rfam family: Bacterial small subunit ribosomal RNA
Source: RNAcentral
GAUGAACGCUGGCGGCGUGCCUAAUACAUGCAAGUCGAGCGAACAGACGAGGAGCUUGCUCCUCUGACGUUAGCGGCGGACGGGUGAGUAACACGUGGAUAACCUACCUAUAAGACUGGGAUAACUUCGGGAAACCGGAGCUAAUACCGGAUAAUAUAUUGAACCGCAUGGUUCAAUAGUUAAAUACGGUUUUUCUGUCACUUAUAGAUGUAUCCGCGCCGCAUUAGCUAGUUGGUAAGGUAACGGCUUACCAAGGCAACGAUGCGUAGCCGACCUGAGAGGGUGAUCGGCCACACUGGAACUGAGACACGGUCCAGACUCCUACGGGAGGCAGCAGUAGGGAAUCUUCCGCAAUGGGCGAAAGCCUGACGGAGCAACGCCGCGUGAGUGAUGAAGGUCUUCGGAUCGUAAAACUCUGUUAUUAGGGAAGAACAAAUGUGUAAGUAACUAUGCACGUCUUGACGGUACCUAAUCAGAAAGCCACGGCUAACUACGUG